Molecule: unclassified non-coding RNA, 296 nt
Filed under: Hevea brasiliensis (rubber tree)
Lineage: Eukaryota; Viridiplantae; Streptophyta; Magnoliopsida; Malpighiales; Euphorbiaceae
Source: RNAcentral
GGGGACUUGAGGUUCAUUGAGGUCAAUCAUUGUCCUAGUUUUAGGUUCUGCAACAGGAAGCUUCAAGACAUGUCCAUCAGGAGAAGCACAUUCGGCACUUUGAGAAGGACUGCUCUUUGAUGAGUUGCUUGAUGACACUUUAUCCUCAGACAAAGCUAUCGGAAUGCUGUUCGGCGAUAGGUCAUUGCUGCUAGAGGUGUGGCGCAUCUCUUGUUCCUUUACUGGAACCAUAUCACUUCCACGGCUACAAGCCGUUAGUCUCCUACGCCGCUUGGCAAUGGGAGCUACAAAGUCCG